CUCGUUCAAGCUUUGGGCAUGUAGUUGCUCAAGCUUUUAGCCCCCUCAUUUCUCUCUACUAGAUAAGCAAGUUGGGGUUUUAUUUCUUGUCCAUUUUGUCCAUCCUUUGUUGUGAACAAGCUUUCUCAGGUCAUAUAGAAGAAAACAACCAUCAAAGUGAACUCCUAAGCAAAUGCCACAGUCAAUUAGCAUUCACCAUCAAUGAUUUUGCUCCUCCUUGCAAAAUCUUGGUAUUAGCUUUGCAUAAGGUGAGUACAAUCUUCACAAUAAAUGCUAAAUUAAUACCUGAUUGCCACAUUUCUUGUCUUUUAAAGAAAUGCUUAUCUUCAUCAAAUUCCAAUGUAAUCUCAACAGCUUCAUAGGCAGCUUCAUUAUAAUAGAUGGCUCCAACAAUUGCAUGUAAACAGAUAAAAGUUAAACACUAAGUUCUACAUGGUAUUUGAGAAAUGUGAAUUGUGAUCCAUCUUAUAUUUCACUCUCAUCACCAUCAAAAUUUUCACUCUCUAUAAUGACAUUAUGAUUGUCCCUCUGAAACCCAUUAAGAUUUCUCAUAUCAACAAUGAUAUCAUAGCUUAUUCCUCAGAAAUCCAAUAAUAUCUCUCUCAAAUCUGGCCAUAAAAUAAACAACAAAGCAAUAAAACAUGUAUUUGAAACAUAUAAAAGUAC
RNAcentral lists this long non-coding RNA (666 nucleotides) under Amborella trichopoda. Its description in RNAcentral is "long non-coding RNA (ATRI_LNC001448)". Lineage: Eukaryota; Viridiplantae; Streptophyta; Magnoliopsida; Amborellales; Amborellaceae. The record is from RNAcentral.